GCGGAUGUGGUGGAAUCGGUAGACACGCACGCUUGAGGGGCGUGUGGCUUUGCCAUGCGAGUUCGAGUCUCGCCAUCCGCA
Transfer RNA from Stanieria cyanosphaera PCC 7437, 81 nucleotides. It matches the Rfam family "tRNA". From Rfam's summary of the family: Transfer RNA (tRNA) molecules are approximately 80 nucleotides in length. The record is from Rfam. Lineage: Bacteria; Bacillati; Cyanobacteriota; Cyanophyceae; Pleurocapsales; Dermocarpellaceae.